RNAcentral lists this ribosomal RNA (500 nucleotides) under uncultured bacterium. RNAcentral's name for it is "partial 16S ribosomal RNA". It matches the Rfam family "Bacterial small subunit ribosomal RNA", at positions 30 to 523 of the family's 1533-position model. The record is from RNAcentral.
AUUGAACGCUGGCGGCAGGCCUAACACAUGCAAGUCGAGCGGAUGAGAGGAGCUUGCUCUUCGAUUCAGCGGCGGACGGGUGAGUAAUGCCUAGGAAUCUGCCUAGUAGUGGGGGACAACGUUUCGAAAGGAACGCUAAUACCGCAUACGUCCUACGGGAGAAAGUGGGGGAUCUUCGGACCUCACGCUAUUAGAUGAGCCUAGGGCGGAUUAGCUAGUUGGUAGGGUAACGGCCUACCAAGGCGACGAUCCGUAAUUGGUCUGAGAGGAUGAUCAGUCACACUGGAACUGAGACACGGGCCAGACUCCUACGGGAGGCAGCCGUGGGGAAUAUUGGACAAUGGGCGAAAGCCUGAUCCAGCCAUGCCGCGUGUGUGAAGAAGGCCCUCGGGUCGUAAAGCACUUUAAGUUGGGAGGAAGGGCUUACAGCGAAUACCUGUGAGUUUUGACGUUACCGACAGAAUAAGCACCGGCUAACUUCGUGCCAGCCGCCGCCGUAA